Molecule: long non-coding RNA, 298 nt
Organism: Lytechinus variegatus (green sea urchin)
Lineage: Eukaryota; Metazoa; Echinodermata; Echinoidea; Temnopleuroida; Toxopneustidae
Exons: 5
Source: RefSeq, a predicted model, not a curated record
AUUUCACAGUCCAUCUUGGUACGGAACGACUCAUCUUCAACUUUCCAAAAAAGAAUGGCAAAUCAACAUGGUGAAACCAACCCCAUUGACAAAAAUCACGGUGAAAAAAAGAUAUCGAUGAAGAUUGACAUCCAGAAGAAGUUCAAUAAAACUGUAGUAGAAAUUGUGCUGAAGGAAGAAAAGGAGGUCGUGACAAUGGAUGUAGAGGAAUCGGGAUCGGGGACACUUGAUGAAGAACCAAUGUCUUGGUCUUCUGUGGACUGAUGGAGGGAGACAAGGUUCUCUUGUAUUUUUAGAU